CCUACGUGCGGCAGCAGUGAGGAAUAUUGGUCAAUGGACGAGAGUCUGAACCAGCCAAGUAGCGUGAAGGAUGACUGCCCUAUGGGUUGUAAACUUCUUUUAUAUGGGAAUAAAAUGUUCCACGUGUGUGAUUUUGUAUGUACCAUAUGAAUAAGGAUCGGCUAACUCUGUGCCAGCAGCCGCGGUAAUACGGAGGAUCCGAGCGUUAUCCGGAUUUAUUGGGUUUAAAGGGAGCGUAGGUGGAUUGUUAAGUCAGUUGUGAAAGUUUGCGGCUCAACCGUAAAAUUGCAGUUGAAACUGGCAGUGUUGAGUACAGUAGAGGUGGGCGGAAUUCGUGGUGUAGCGGUGAAAUGCUUAGAUAUCACGAAGAACUCAGAGUGCGAAGGCAGUUCACUGGACUGCAACUGACACUGAGGCUCGAAAGUGUGGGUAUCAAACAGGAGUAGAGACCCGAGUAGUC
RNAcentral lists this ribosomal RNA (460 nucleotides) under uncultured bacterium. Its description in RNAcentral is "partial 16S ribosomal RNA". It matches the Rfam family "Bacterial small subunit ribosomal RNA", at positions 338 to 795 of the family's 1533-position model. The record is from RNAcentral.